RNAcentral lists this small RNA (446 nucleotides) under Pongo abelii (Sumatran orangutan). RNAcentral's name for it is "retained intron". Lineage: Eukaryota; Metazoa; Chordata; Mammalia; Primates; Hominidae. The record is from RNAcentral.
UGCGCGCCCAGGGGUCCCGCGGGUUUUCGGGCGCAGGGUGGCGCCCGCGGCAGGCGGCGGCCAUGAACUUCUCCGAGGUGUUCAAGCUCUCCAGCUUACUCUGCAAGUUCUCCCCGGACGGCAAGUACCUGGCUUCCUGUGUCCAGUACCGGUUAGUGGUCCGGGAUGUGAACACCCUUCAGAUCCUUCAGCUGUACACGUGCCUAGACCAGAUCCAGCACAUCGAGUGGUCGGCAGACUCACUCUUCAUCCUGUGCGCCAUGUACAAGCGAGGGCUGGUGCAGGUAUGUGCUGCCGCGUCGCUUAGAAUCUGGACACCUUCCGAGGGCCACUGGGAAGGAGGGGUUUUGUUCUGUGCCUUUCUAGUUUGAAAAAAAAGUCCGUGCAGCUCAAAGCCAGUUUUCUUUUGAAAUUAUAAUGUUUUCUAAAGUUUAAGAACAUUUAAA